Molecule: ribosomal RNA, 253 nt
Filed under: uncultured bacterium
Lineage: Bacteria
Description: partial 16S ribosomal RNA
Rfam family: Bacterial small subunit ribosomal RNA
Source: RNAcentral
UACGUAUGGGGCAAGCGUUAUCCGGAUUUACUGGGUGUAAAGGGAGCGUAGGCGGCGGGGCAAGCCUGAUGUGAAAGCCCGGGGCUCAACCCCGGGACUGCAUUGGGAACUGCCCUGCUGGAGUGCCGGAGGGGCAGGCGGAAUUCCUAGUGUAGCGGUGAAAUGCGUAGAUAUUAGGAGGAACACCAGUGGCGAAGGCGGCCUGCUGAACGGUGACUGACGCUGAGGCUCGAAAGCGUGGGGAGCAAACAGG